AGUGAACGCUGGCGGUAGACCUAACACAUGCAAGUCGAACGGCAGCACAGUAAGAGCUUGCUCUUACGGGUGGCGAGUGGCGGACGGGUGAGGAAUACAUCGGAAUCUACUUUUUCGUGGGGGAUAACGUAGGGAAACUUACGCUAAUACCGCAUACGACCUACGGGUGAAAGCAGGGGAUCUUCGGACCUUGCGCGAUUGAAUGAGCCGAGGUCGGAUUAGCUAGUUGGCGGGGUAAAGGCCCACCAAGGCGACGAUCCGUAGCUGGUCUGAGAGGAUGAUCAGCCACACUGGAACUGAGACACGGUCCAGACUCCUACGGGAGGCAGCAGUGGGGAAUAUUGGACAAUGGGCGCAAGCCUGAUCCAGCCAUACCGCGUGGGUGAAGAAGGCCUUCGGGUUGUAAAGCCCUUUUGUUGGGAAAGAAAAGCAGCAGGUUAAUACCCCGCUGUUCUGACGGUACCCAAAGAAUAAGCACCGGCUAACUUCGUG
This 492-nucleotide ribosomal RNA is filed under the name uncultured bacterium. RNAcentral describes it as "partial 16S ribosomal RNA". It matches the Rfam family "Bacterial small subunit ribosomal RNA", at positions 29 to 507 of the family's 1533-position model. The record is from RNAcentral.